This 752-nucleotide long non-coding RNA is filed under the name Pan troglodytes (chimpanzee). RNAcentral's name for it is "lincRNA". Lineage: Eukaryota; Metazoa; Chordata; Mammalia; Primates; Hominidae. The record is from RNAcentral.
UUGACAGUUUGGCUUCCCUGUUCUGGGUGGCAAAGCCUGUGGAGUACUCACCUACCUGCUGCAUGAAGGCAGCAUGGAGGGACUGUGGUGGAUUAUCUGCAAAGAUGGCCAAAAUUCUCUCAUCCCUGCAGGCACAUACAAGGUUGUUGCAUGGCAUAAGUAAAAUGACAGCCAAAGGAUACAUGCAACUUUUCAGGGACAAAGAUCUGUGCAGCAUCGACAGUACUGCCUAAUGAGGUUUCACCAUAAUGAAGUAUUACAACCAGUUUACAGACCAGAAAACUGAGACACAGGAAGGGGUGGUGACUUGAGCAAGGUGCAUCAGCUGCCAGGUUUCCAGAAGUUCCCCAGUCAUUGAGCAUUUCUGAGGCUCUUGAUGCAUAUGCCAAGUAGUUAUGGAGAAAGACACAGCAGCUUACCUCUGCAGGCAUCAUUGUGUGAAAGGAAGACCCAGGCUCUCUCACCACCCUUCAACAGAAGCCUUUUGCUAAGGUGAUAGCUACAUGUCCAAGCCUAUUGCGUGGCAUGCAUUUUGCCUUCUGCAGCCCACUAAAGGAAAUUGAGGUAUACGGAAUGCUUAUUUGGUUUACUCAGUAUCAUCCUAAAUGUAUGUACCAAUGCUUAGGAGUUUGCAGUUCACCCGCAAACCUCAGCGAUCCAAGCUCCCCUGGAUGACCAUCACUCACCAAGAAAAGAACAAUAACAGGACCUGUUUUGCUAAUCCAGGACUGUUCUCCAGCACUAACUCUAAA